This 644-nucleotide long non-coding RNA is filed under the name Fukomys damarensis (Damara mole-rat). RNAcentral describes it as "lncRNA (ENSFDAG00000026244.1)". Lineage: Eukaryota; Metazoa; Chordata; Mammalia; Rodentia; Bathyergidae. The record is from RNAcentral.
CGGAAAUGAAAUAACUGUAACAUGAUUGAUAACCUUAAGUCCAGGGAAACGAUAUUACUAAUUAAAUCGUGAAACAUUAGGCCGGCUGUCAAGCACAGAUAUAUUUAAAGUCGUAACAGCUCUUGCUUAUUUUUAAAGUGUUUGCAUAUUGAAUGAUUCAGGAAAAAAUUGUUUCUAUUUAUCAGACCAAGUAUAAAGUGCUCAGCUCCAUGGCAUCAGCAACCAUAACAGUCAAUCCGAGUUGUAGGUGUCCAGCGAGGACAAGAAAGAGACCAGGAUAACGCACCACUGCAUAGAACAUUCCAUCAGUGUUUUCUGUGGAUCAACGAAUGAAUGAAUUAAAACAUAAAGAUGCAGAGUGCUGUGUUGGAGAGGAGAGAGGCCACCUGGGCAGACACUGUGAGAGAGGACGAACAUGCUGUAUCUUCAUUGUCUACCUGCACAAGCUGCUCUGCUGCUGCCCACGAGACCUUCCCUGGUCUGUGCAUCCUCCUGAGCAUUGCUGCAGGACUUGGGAAGUGCUGCUAACCUUGCUAAAAACACUUGAAGUGUGACGAGUCCUUUUAAAAAAUCACCUCUGCCGUUGACUACUUUGUGAUACUAGGCAUUAUGUUGUUGAGAUGUUCUUCCUUAAUUAGAGCCCC